Molecule: transfer-messenger RNA, 337 nt
Filed under: uncultured Lachnoclostridium sp.
Lineage: Bacteria; Bacillati; Bacillota; Clostridia; Lachnospirales; Lachnospiraceae
Rfam family: transfer-messenger RNA
About the family: Bacterial tmRNA, also known as 10Sa RNA or SsrA, is named for its dual tRNA and mRNA-like properties. Its role is to liberate the mRNA from a stalled ribosome.
Source: RNAcentral
GGGGCAGUACUGGUUUCGACAGGGGCCAUGCAGCUGGUGAAGCUAUCCGUAUGCAAUGCGUGAAAUGGCAAACCUAAAUAUAAACGCUGAAGAUAAUUUAGCAUACGCUGCUUAAUUGCAGCUGUCAGCCUUAGAGCACUCACACUUUAAGAAUCUGGCAUCGACUUUGUGAGAAACGACAUAUACAAAGCUUUGCGUAUAUGGGCGUAAUAUGAAGCUACUGAAACCGUCAGGGUGUCUGUUCCCGGACGGCGGAGGGAACGAAAAAGAACAGACUAUGAUAGUAGAAGAACAGGGAAUUGGUUUUUGGACACGGGUUCAACUCCCGUCUGCUCCA